UACGGGAGGCAGCAGUGGGGAAUAUUGCACAAUGGGCGCAAGCCUGAUGCAGCCAUGCCGCGUGUAUGAAGAAGGCCUUCGGGUUGUAAAGUACUUUCAGUCGUGAGGAAGGUGUUAAGGUUAAUAACCUUAGCAAUUGACGUUAGCGACAGAAGAAGCACCGGCUAACUCCGUGCCAGCAGCCGCGGUAAUACGGAGGGUGCGAGCGUUAAUCGGAAUUACUGGGCGUAAAGGGCACGCAGGCGGUUAAUUAAGUUGGAUGUGAAAUCCCCGGGCUUAACCUGGGAAUGGCAUUCAAGACUGGUUAGCUAGAGUCUUGUAGAGGGGGUAGAAUUCCAUGUGUAGCGGUGAAAUGCGUAGAGAUGUGGAGGAAUACCGGUGGCGAAGGCGGCCCCUGGACAAAAACUGACGCUCAUGUGCGAAAGCGUGGGGAGCAAAC
Molecule: ribosomal RNA, 439 nt
Filed under: uncultured bacterium
Lineage: Bacteria
Description: bacterial SSU rRNA
Rfam family: Bacterial small subunit ribosomal RNA
Source: RNAcentral